RNAcentral lists this ribosomal RNA (506 nucleotides) under uncultured bacterium. RNAcentral describes it as "partial 16S ribosomal RNA". It matches the Rfam family "Bacterial small subunit ribosomal RNA", at positions 29 to 523 of the family's 1533-position model. The record is from RNAcentral.
AGUGAACGCUGGCGGUAGGCCUAACACAUGCAAGUCGAACGGCAGCACAGGAGAGCUUGCUCUCUGGGUGGCGAGUGGCGGACGGGUGAGGAAUACAUCGGAAUCUACUCUGUCGUGGGGGAUAACGUAGGGAAACUUACGCUAAUACCGCAUACGACCUACGGGUGAAAGCAGGGGAUCUUCGGACCUUGCGCGAUUGAAUGAGCCGAUGUCGGAUUAGCUAGUUGGCGGGGUAAAGGCCCACCAAGGCGACGAUCCGUAGCUGGUCCGAGAGGAUGAUCGUCCACACUGGAACUGAGACACGGUCCAGACUCCUACGGGAGGCAGCAGUGGGGAAUAUUGGACAAUGGGCGCAAGCCUGAUCCAGCCAUACCGCGUGGGUGAAGAAGGCCUUCGGGUUGUAAAGCCCUUUUGCUGGGAAAGAAAUCCAGCUGGCUAAUACCCGGUUGGGAUGACGGUACCCAAAGAAUAAGCACCGGCUAACUUCGUGCCAGCAGCCGCCGUAA